UUUGACUCAACACAGGAAAUGACAACAGGGUCAGACAUAGUAAGGAUUAACAGAUCAAAAGCUCUUUCUUAAUUCUGUGGGUGGUGAUGCAUGAUCAUUCUUAGCUGAUGGAGCAAUUGGGUUAUUCCUAAUUGUGAUGUCCUAACUAGUUGGGUGGUCAUCUCUCAGCAGGCUUUUGCUGUGAAGUGUAUAUGCAGAUAAAGCUUUUAAUAGGGAGUGUAGAGUUUUUAUUUGCUUAUGUUUUUAUGCUUAAGCAUCUUGUCAUGCUAUUUAAAAUUUAUGCU
RNAcentral lists this non-coding RNA (284 nucleotides) under Anolis carolinensis (green anole). Its description in RNAcentral is "Eukaryotic small subunit ribosomal RNA". It matches the Rfam family "Eukaryotic small subunit ribosomal RNA", at positions 1194 to 1428 of the family's 1831-position model. Lineage: Eukaryota; Metazoa; Chordata; Lepidosauria; Squamata; Anolidae. The record is from Rfam by way of RNAcentral.